UUAUUGGAGAGUUUGAUCCUGGCUCAGGACGAACGCUGGCGGCGUGCCUAAUACAUGCAAGUCGAGCGAGGGUCUUCGGACCCUAGCGGCGGACGGGUGAGUAACACGUAGGCAACCUGCCCAUAAGACUGGGAUAACAUAGGGAAACUUAUGCUAAUACCGGA
This 164-nucleotide ribosomal RNA is filed under the name Brevibacillus panacihumi. Its description in RNAcentral is "partial 16S ribosomal RNA". It matches the Rfam family "Bacterial small subunit ribosomal RNA", at positions 1 to 173 of the family's 1533-position model. Lineage: Bacteria; Bacillati; Bacillota; Bacilli; Caryophanales; Paenibacillaceae. The record is from RNAcentral.